CCCGCCUGGGGAGUACGGCCGCAAGGUUAAAACUCAAAUGAAUUGACGGGGGCCCGCACAAGCGGUGGAGCAUGUGGUUUAAUUCGAUGCAACGCGAAGAACCUUACCUACUCUUGACAUCCAGAGAAUUUAGCAGAGAUGCUUUGGUGCCUUCGGGAACUCUGAGACAGGUGCUGCAUGGCUGUCGUCAGCUCGUGUUGUGAAAUGUUGGGUUAAGUCCCGCAACGAGCGCAACCCUUAUCCUUUGUUGCCAGCGAUUCGGUCGGGAACUCAAAGGAGACUGCCGGUGAUAAACCGGAGGAAGGUGGGGAUGACGUCAAGUCAUCAUGGCCCUUACGAGUAGGGCUACACACGUGCUACAAUGGCGUAUACAAAGAGAAGCGACCUCGCGAGAGCAAGCGGAACUCAUAAAGUACGUCGUAGUCCGGAUUGGAGUCUGCAACUCGACUCCAUGAAGUCGGAAUCGCUAGUAAUCGUAGAUCAGAAUGCUACGGUGAAUACGUUCCCGGGCCUUGUACACACCGCCCGUCACACCAUGGGAGUGGGUUGCAAAAGAAGUA
This 560-nucleotide ribosomal RNA is filed under the name Providencia sp. Its description in RNAcentral is "bacterial SSU rRNA". It matches the Rfam family "Bacterial small subunit ribosomal RNA", at positions 868 to 1428 of the family's 1533-position model. Lineage: Bacteria; Pseudomonadati; Pseudomonadota; Gammaproteobacteria; Enterobacterales; Morganellaceae. The record is from RNAcentral.